This 258-nucleotide long non-coding RNA is filed under the name Mytilus galloprovincialis (Mediterranean mussel). The record is from RNAcentral. Lineage: Eukaryota; Metazoa; Mollusca; Bivalvia; Mytilida; Mytilidae.
GGUGUCACACGUAAAGCAGCAUCUGCUCACCCUUCCGGAGCUCAUGAGAUGCCACCUUGGGAUUGGUGUGGUUCGUUUAGUUCAGUUUUCUUUUUUGUGUUGUUUAGACUGUAUGUCUUUUGGUCGUUAUCUUUUUCUAUUCUUUUUUUUUACAUGACGUUGUCAUAUCAUGAUCAGUUUGUCGUCCACUUAUGGGUUGAAAUGUCCCUUUGGUAUCUUACCCUUCUUAUGCUUCUCUUCUACAGGUACAUGUUAUUG